GACGAACGCUGGCGGCGUGCUUAACACAUGCAGGUCGAACGGAAAGGCCCUGAGUUUGUGGGGUGCUCGAGUGGCGAACGCGGGAGUAACACGUGAGUAACCUGCCCUUGUCUUUCGGAGAACAUCACGAAACGGGGGCUAAUAUCGGAUAGGAGCUCCUGCUCCAUGGUGGGGGGUGGAAAGUUUCGGCGGUUGGGGAUGGACUGGCGGCUUACGAGCUUGUUGGUGGGGUAGGGGCUUACCAAGGCUUUGAAUGGUAGGCGGCAUGAGAGGGUGACCGGCCACCUGGCGACUAAGGGACGGCGCAGACUCGUACGGUAGGCAGCAGUGGGGAGUCUUGCACAGUGGGCGGGAGCCUGAUGCGACGGCGCCGCGUGCGGGAUGACGGCCUUCUGGUUGUGAACCGCUUUCGCCUGUGACGAAGCGUGAGUGACGGUAAUGAAUAAAGAAGCACCGGCUAACUACGUG
RNAcentral lists this ribosomal RNA (468 nucleotides) under uncultured bacterium. RNAcentral describes it as "partial 16S ribosomal RNA". It matches the Rfam family "Bacterial small subunit ribosomal RNA", at positions 28 to 507 of the family's 1533-position model. The record is from RNAcentral.